RNAcentral lists this long non-coding RNA (5345 nucleotides) under Gossypium barbadense (sea-island cotton). Its description in RNAcentral is "long non-coding RNA (GBAR_LNC017250)". The record is from RNAcentral. Lineage: Eukaryota; Viridiplantae; Streptophyta; Magnoliopsida; Malvales; Malvaceae.
UUUUUUUUUUUUCUAAAAGAAAACUGAAAGGAUGUCAUUAAUAAAAUAAACAAUUACAUGACUACAUGUAAAACACGUGUAGCCUAACAGCUGCCCCCAAACCGUCCCCCUAAAAUAACCUAAAAGCAGGAUUUAACUUUCUAGAUUCCUAAAAAACUGAACAGACGCAUUAAAAACAACAGUAGCCUUCAAGAAACCUUAGAAAGACUACCAGAAAAACAAAGAAACAAACCAAACAAAUCAGAAAAAAUUGCAGCCUAAACUGAUUGGCAUUCCUCUCCGUCUGUUCUAUUACCAUCGUCUAUCUCCAAAAAAACAUUAUUGUUAACGUCCAACGAUGGAUCCUUAAAGAACCUGAAACCGUCGGAGUCCGCAAAAAUCCCCUUCCUACGACCCAUUUCAUCCUCAAAACAGAGCCCUUCUAUCUUCUUCGGCCACCGCUUCAACUCUUGAAGGUGCCUCCUUAACCCAAAUCAUCGCCGAUGGCCAUUGAUUUCCUUCCUUCGCAAUCGUAUGCGCCGCUCGGUUCACCGCUCUGCCCACAAAAUGACGAGUAAAACUCUCAUAUCCUUGGGCCCUCUUUUUUAUUUCUUUGAUAAUCAUAGAAAUGCUUGAUCUGUCAUUCUCUGAUGAACGGAUUUUCUUAAUAACUAUCAAGGAAUCCCCUUCCACCACUAGUCGUCGGAAUCCCAACUCUUCGGCCACCGUCACCGCUUGUAAACAAGUCUUCGCCUCAACCGUGGUGGCAUCGGCCACAAAACUAUUUGGGUAAGCACAAGUCGCCAAAAUGUGCCCCUCACUAUCUCUAAAGAUUAUCCUAAAUACCGAACUAAACAUGCACUUGUUGAAAGUCGCAUCAAAAUUGCAUUUAACUUCAUUAAUUCCUGGUGGCGUCCAUAUACUAUUCAUCUGGUUCAUAGGUGUUGAAAUCACGGAUUCUGUAAAUGUGCUAUCUGAAUAAUAUGCUUUAAUAAACGUAACCAGACCCACUAUGUUCCGUUUUUCACCCUGAUGAUAUACCUUAUUUCUGUGGUACCAGACUGCCCAUAACACAAUAGUUAGCCAUUUGCAUUUCUCCUCUCCUGUACAAGAAAAUAUAUUUGCUGACCGCAAUUUCCAACUUUGUCCUUGAAUGCUGGGCGAGACAUUUACCCCAACCCUUGCAGAACACUUUCAAUAAACAUGCAAUCCCGGAAUAUAUGGCUCACCGAUUCCUCUAUUGUACGACAGAGAGGACAAAUGUUCACCACCUGCAGAUUCCUCACUUGUAAAUUGUCAAACAUGGGGAUAUAGUUAUUAUCAAUUUUCCAUGUUUAAUUUUUAUUUUGCUUGCAACUUGUAACUUCCAUAAUUUGUUGUAGAAGUUCUGUAAUAGCGUAGCUUGUUGUAACAUUUCCCCCCUGCGCUGCUGUCACUUCUUCACUAAGCAGCCAUUUAUAGCCACUUUUUGCCGAGAACACACCUAUACUGUCUCCCCUCCACACUCUUUCAUCAUCAAGAUCAACUUCAGCAGCUGGGAUUGUCAAAAUUUUGUUUACCUGCUCCUCGACAAAAAGCUUCCUUAGGACCUCCAACUUCUAGGUAGCUGUCUCUCUAUUAAUAAGAUCUGCUACAAUUUAAUUAAUAUCAAUAUUCUGAAUUCUAACUUUUCCAUGUCCAGGUCUUGGUAACCAGACAUCAUUCCAGAUGUUUAUUGAUCUGCCGUUUCCAACCCUCUAGCCCAUGCCUAGCUCCAGAAGUCUUCUGGCUCCCCAUAUGCUCCUCCAGGUAAAAGAUGGGUGAGAGCCUAAACUGGCACUCAUAAAGUCACAAUGUGGAUAAUCCUUUCCUUUCAUGACGUGAGCAAACAAACAAUCUGGUUUCAUAAUUAACCGCCAUCCUUGUUUAGCAAGUAUCGCUAUAUUGAACUUGGUUAAUUCCCUAAAUCCCAACCCCUCUUGUGCUUUCGGCUAGCACAUCCCCCUCCAAUCGCACUGAUAAAUUCCCUUUCCUGUUUUAGAAUUUUGCCACCAAAAUUUACUAGUAAUGCUUUCUAGUUCACGACAUAACGUAACAAGCAACAAAAAACGUUACAUCGUAUAGACUGGGAUGGCUUGUAAAAUUUGUUCUUUACCUUCCAAGUGACAAUUGACGUAUACUCCAAUUUUCAAUACGUUUCCUGAAUCUAUCUUUGAAACUUGCAAAUGCCUUUUUCUUUCGCUUUCCAAUCAUAGUUGAUAACCCGAGGUAUUUUUCAAGGUUACUAGAGACCCUUACUCCCAUAGUUGUCCCAAUUUGUUUCUUCUUGAUGCUCGACACAUUAUUGCUAAAAAAUAAAGUCAAUUUAUCAAUUGCCCUGAAACUCCUCCAUAAUCGGUCAUUAAACUUUAAUAGCAGCCGCAAACGAGGUGCUGUCAUCUGCAAAAAAUAGGUGAGGUAAGGAAAGCCCACUUCUCCCGACUCUUACUCCUUUGAUAGCUCCUUCAGAUUUUGCCAAUUUAAUAAGGGAAGAAAAACAUUAGGCACAUAUUAGAAAUAAAUACGGGAUAAGUGGGUCGCAUUGCCUCAAUCCUCUUGAAGAUUUCAAAUUUUUCCCUUGCACAGAUAUUCCACCGUUCUAACACACUCCAUAACUAAGCUUAACCAAUUUUCGCAAAAACCCAUACGCCUCAUAACUUAUUCAAUGAAACUCCAUUUCAACCUAUCAUGUCUAAUUUCAUGGCAAAAUGGCCCCGUACACCACUCCUUUUUUGUUUCAGCGAUUGUAGCACAUCAUAUGCAAUUAACGCAUUAUCCGUAAUUUGUCUGCCAAGGACAAAUGUUGCCUGUGCAUCAUCAAUACAUUUAUCAAGCACUGUUCUAAAUCUAUUUAGAACCACUUUAGAUAUAAUUUAUACAGCACAUUACAUAUGAUUUAGAACCACUUUAGAUAUAAUUUAUACAGCACAUUACAUAUGCUAAUUGGCCUAAGUUUUGACAUACAGGGUUGAGAGCUCUCUUUUGGCAUAAGCGCAAUGCUAGUGAUGUUUAAAAUGCCAAUCUCCUUUCUUCUAGUCAAAACGUCUAAACAAUAUUUAGUAAUCUCAUCUCCAACAAUGUGCCAAUAUUUUUGAUAAAAAAGUGCAGGAUAAUCAUCUAUACAUAAUACCUUUGAAGGUGCUAUAUUCUUCAUUGCUUCCCUCACUUCUUCGGAUCUAAACUGUUCAAUCAGCUUAGUGUUCAUAUCUUCAUGAAUACAUCUCGUUAUCCCCAACAACACUCUCUCAUUACUGCUCGUAUAUGAAGUUGUGAAUAAUUCCUUGAAAUAGUCAUUUGCCACUUGUAUCUUCUCCUCCUCUCCUUUGACCCAAUCUCUGUUUAGCCUUUUUAGCUUUUCCACAGUGUUCCUCUUUUUUCGUUGGUUUGUCCAAAUCGGCUUGUGCUUUCUAGUUUCAGUCCCCAAAUUAAUUAGAAUUGAAUAAUGAUCUGACAUAGCAUGCGACAAAUGUUUUAAAGAAUACUUUGGAAAACUCUCCCGCCAUGCCAAAUUUGCCACCCAUCUAUAAAUUCUCUCUUGAAUAUUGUUUUCUGGUAAUCAGCCUCUCUCCCAAGUGUACCAUCUUCCCGUAAAUCCCAUAUCGCUAAGUUCACAGUCCUCCAAUACUUUCCUAAAGCAAGCCAUAUUUCUUUCGUUUCGUAGUCAGCGCCCCUUUUUCUCAAACGAGAACAUAAUUUCAUUAAAAUCUCUCACAACCAUCCAUGGUAAAUCUCGAUAAGACCCAAACCUUCUUAGGAGAUUCUAUUAUUCUCUUCUUUUAUGUUCUUCUGGUGCACCAUAGAAUCUUGUAAACCUCCACGAUGGCAUACUCUCUCCAUCCUUUACUUCCAGAUCAAUAUGGUUAGUUGAAAAGCUUUUCAACUGUACAACAUAAUCCCCUUUGCACCCAAUUGGUAAACCCUUUUUUGAUCCAUGUGUACCAACAUCAAUUCCGUUAACAAAACAACACUUCAAUUGAACCUUUUCCAUUCUUUUUCCACUCAACUUUGUUUCAAUUAGAAACAAAAUUUGGGGCUGUAUAUGCCUCACCAUGUUUUUGAGACGAUUAAUCACCCGUGGAUGCCUCAAGCCAUAAACAUUCCAAUUUAGGAUUUGCAUUGCUCCUGGUUGGCUCGCUUACCAACGGCCGCCAAUCUCUUAUUAAAUUCAAUCAGUAAACCAUUAAUACCAGACCCAUUUGACUAAUCAUCCCUUGGUCUUUGUCUCUUUUUCCCUUCACAACCUCCAAUUAGCUUGUUCUCCAUUAUAGUUUCUCUUUAAUCCAUCUUCCACGCCCCUUGAACAAUUGCAUUUCCUUCCUUACCCAUAACAUUUUGAUCAUCCAUAUCCAUACUUUGGUGAUUACUACCUCCUUGAAAACCUUUUGCCCCAUCUUCCCUUAACCACUUACUCUCGUUUGGAACCUUUUUUUUGUAAAUGUGCCCUUAAAGAUAUGUCCCAUCCAAAACUUACUUCUUGAGUCCCGAUUGUUAACCUGACAAGGAAAAACCCUUCCCCAUGCCCUAAUUUCCCACAUAAGUAACAAAAAAGUGUUAGUCUUUCAUAUUGGAAAAAAGCAUAUCCCUCUCGCCCUUGUCCCAAUGCCAAUUUUUUCUUAGGCUUCAAGGCUAGUCUUACAUCAACUCUAGUUCAAAAAUGCAUAUACCAAUGUUCCCCUCUCGUAAUUGAAGUAGCGGAUGGACUGCCCAAUAAAAUUACCUAGAUGUCUUGCCAAUCCCUCCGAUAUAACCCUAAACGCCAGAUAGAUCUGAACCCAGAAAUUAAUAUAAACCAAUGGGACUUUCAUCAGGUCUUCCCCAUUAUUCAAUCGAUGGAAAACAAUAAGGUGCCUAUUGAAUGAUCAGGGUAUACCAUCCAAAACCCUUUUUAUAUCAACCUUAUAGAAAAAAUGGAACAAAUACCUUUUUUCCCUUAGAUCUAUGAUUGUAACUCCCCCAACGGAUGCCAAAGAUUAGCCAGAGUUCUUUUCAGAGAGGGAAAAUGAACCAUACACUCCAUUAAAGCUUUUCCUACCAAGCAAAAUUGAUAAUCAUCUUCUAAACCAUUCAGAUCAUUUUCACAAAGAAUCAGUUCCUCCUCUUCAUCGUCAAGAUUUAGAUUUGCAAGCUCUUCCUUCAUUACUAACAAAAAUCUCGAACAAUCGCACUCUAAAUUUGCCAACCCAAAAACCCUACGAUAAGGGAAAUGUGCUUAUAGCAGACGAAAAUGAGAAAAGAGACGUGCUAAAACUCUUUAGCAGACAAAAGAGCUAUUUUGAGUUUUAUUAAUUGUAAAUAUUAUUGUAUCAUGUUUUUUUUUUAUAUUCGUAUCACAAUUAAAUUUAUAUUUG